GAUGAACGCUGACAGAAUGCUUAACACAUGCCAGUCCACUUGAACUUCGGUUUGGGUGGCGGACGGGUGAGUAACGCGUAAAGAACUUGCCUCACAGCUAGGGACAACAUUUGGAAACGAAUGCUAAUACCUGAUAUUAUGAUUUUAGGGCAUCCUAGAAUUAUGAAAGCUAUAUGCGCUGUGAGAGAGCUUUGCGUCCCAUUAGCUAGUUGGAGAGGUAACGGCUCACCAAGGCGAUGAUGGGUAGCCGGCCUGAGAGGGUGAACGGCCACAAGGGGACUGAGACACGGCCCUUACUCCUACGGGAGGCAGCAGUGGGGAAUAUUGGACAAUGGACCAAGAGUCUGAUCCAGCAAUUCUGUGUGCACGAUGAAGUUUUUCGGAAUGUAAAGUGCUUUCAGUUGGGAAGAAAAAAAUGACGGUACCAACAGAAGAAGUGACGGCUAAAUACGUG
RNAcentral lists this ribosomal RNA (454 nucleotides) under uncultured bacterium. RNAcentral's name for it is "partial 16S ribosomal RNA". It matches the Rfam family "Bacterial small subunit ribosomal RNA", at positions 28 to 507 of the family's 1533-position model. The record is from RNAcentral.